This 83-nucleotide transfer RNA is filed under the name Camelus dromedarius (Arabian camel). It matches the Rfam family "tRNA". Rfam says of the family: Transfer RNA (tRNA) molecules are approximately 80 nucleotides in length. RNAcentral also lists the same sequence under 1 other name. The record is from Rfam by way of RNAcentral. Lineage: Eukaryota; Metazoa; Chordata; Mammalia; Artiodactyla; Camelidae.
GAGGGUAUAGCUCAAGUGGUAGAGUGCAUGCUUAGCAUGCACCAGGAUGCACGAGGUCCUGGGUUCAAUCCCUAGUACCUCCU